UACGAAGGGGGCUAGCGUUGUUCGGAAUCACUGGGCGUAAAGGGCGCGUAGGCGGCUUUAUAAGUCGGGGGUGAAAGCCUGUGGCUCAACCACAGAAUUGCCUUCGAUACUGUAUGGCUUGAGACCGGAAGAGGUAAGUGGAACUGCGAGUGUAGAGGUGAAAUUCGUAGAUAUUCGCAAGAACACCAGUGGCGAAGGCGGCUCACUGGCCCGUAACUGACGCUGAGGCACGAAAGCGUGGGGAGCAAACAGGG
Molecule: ribosomal RNA, 254 nt
Filed under: uncultured bacterium
Lineage: Bacteria
Description: partial 16S ribosomal RNA
Rfam family: Bacterial small subunit ribosomal RNA
Source: RNAcentral